GCGGGGAUGGCGUAACCGGUAGCCGCAGCGGGCUUAAAACCCGCCGCCUGGAAACAGGCGUACGGGUUCGAGUCCCGUUCCCCGCACCA
RNAcentral lists this transfer RNA (89 nucleotides) under Ramlibacter ginsenosidimutans. RNAcentral describes it as "tRNA-Leu". It matches the Rfam family "tRNA". From Rfam's summary of the family: Transfer RNA (tRNA) molecules are approximately 80 nucleotides in length. Their secondary structure includes four short double-helical elements and three loops (D, anti-codon, and T loops). The record is from RNAcentral. Lineage: Bacteria; Pseudomonadati; Pseudomonadota; Betaproteobacteria; Burkholderiales; Comamonadaceae.